This 497-nucleotide ribosomal RNA is filed under the name uncultured bacterium. RNAcentral's name for it is "partial 16S ribosomal RNA". It matches the Rfam family "Bacterial small subunit ribosomal RNA", at positions 28 to 507 of the family's 1533-position model. The record is from RNAcentral.
GAUGAACGCUGGCGGCGUGCCUAAUACAUGCAAGUCGAGCGAACGGACGAGAAGCUUUCUUCUCUGAUGUUAGCGGCGGACGGGUGAGUAACACGUGGAUAACCUACCUAUAAGACUGGGAUAACUUCGGGAAACCGGAGCUAAUACCGGAUAAUAUUUUGAACCGCAGGGUUCAAAAGUGAAAGACGGUCUUGCCGUCACUUAUAGAUGGAUCCGUGCUGCAUUAGCUAGUUGGUAAGGUAACGGCCUACCAAGGCAACGAUGCAUAGCCGACCUGAGAGGGUGAUCGGCCACACUGGAACUGAGACACGGUCCAGACUCCUACGGGAGGCAGCAGUAGGGAAUCUUCCGCAAUGGGCGAAAGCCUGACGCAGCAACGCCGCGUGAGUGAAGAAGGUCUUCGGAUCGUAAAGCUCUGUUAUUAGGGAAGAACAUAUGUGUAAGUAACUGUGCACAUCUUGACGGUACCUAAUCAGAAAGCCACGGCUAACUACGUG